GGAUAAGCUAAUUUUCCAUUCUCUCCUCAAAAGUAGUAGAUUAAAUAUGUAAAACAUAGAGGCUGUGGAAUGAAAGUCAUACAAGAAUUUAAAAAUGUUAAACUCAAGGGACAGGGUCUGGAUCGCUUCUACCGCUUUUCUGUGGAUCUGCAGAUAACGUCUAUUGGCAGCCAGUAGCCAUGAAGCGAUGUUUAAUUGCCUGAUCGUCUAUCGCUUCUCCAUUAACAUUAUUCUGCUCACCUUGGCCACGGUUUUCAUGCUGCUACGGAUACUAUCUUGACUGAGGAUCGUCUGGAUGGACAUGGAUCUCUUUGCGCUCGAGUUAAUGUACCUCUUCUACAUCAAAUAUAACUCACAAAACGC
Molecule: long non-coding RNA, 363 nt
Filed under: Drosophila guanche
Lineage: Eukaryota; Metazoa; Arthropoda; Insecta; Diptera; Drosophilidae
Source: RNAcentral